This 480-nucleotide ribosomal RNA is filed under the name Octospora gemmicola. RNAcentral's name for it is "partial large subunit ribosomal RNA". It matches the Rfam family "Eukaryotic large subunit ribosomal RNA", at positions 119 to 612 of the family's 3401-position model. The record is from RNAcentral. Lineage: Eukaryota; Fungi; Ascomycota; Pezizomycetes; Pezizales; Pyronemataceae.
AAUCUGGCGUUCAUCGUCCGAGUUGUAAUUUGGAGGGGUAACUUCGGAAACGACGCCGCUCUAUGUUCCUUUGAACAGGACAUCACAGAGGGUGAGAAUCCCGUGCUUGGGCGGAUUGUCCGGACCAUGUGAAGUGCCUCCGACGAGUCGAGUUGUUUGGGAAUGCAGCUCAAAAUGGGUGGUAAAUUUCAUCUAAAGCUAAAUAUUGGCGAGAGACCGAUAGCGCACAAGUAGAGUGAUCGAAAGAUGAAAAGAACUUUGAAAAGAGGGUCAAACAGUACGUGAAAUUGUUGAAAGGGAAGCGCUUGAGAUCGAACUCAGUCGAUGGCACACAGCCGAGCUUCUGCUCGGUGCACUGGUCGUCGACUGGGCCAGCAUCGGUUCUGACGGCGGGAUAAAGGGUCGGGAAACGUGGCUCGCCUCGUGCGAGUGUUAUAGUCCCGCGCCGUAAUACCGCCAGUCCGGGACCGAGGACCGCGC